RNAcentral lists this small nucleolar RNA (145 nucleotides) under Sorex araneus (European shrew). RNAcentral's name for it is "Small nucleolar RNA SNORA70 (ENSSARG00000018840.1)". It matches the Rfam family "Small nucleolar RNA SNORA70". From Rfam's summary of the family: snoRNA U70 seems to be exclusive to mammals and is a member of the H/ACA class of snoRNA which contain H (ANANNA) and ACA box motifs. H/ACA box snoRNAs are involved in the conversion of uridines to pseudouridines (5-ribosyluracil) a constituent of structural RNAs (transfer, ribosomal, small nuclear, and small nucleolar). The record is from RNAcentral. Lineage: Eukaryota; Metazoa; Chordata; Mammalia; Eulipotyphla; Soricidae.
CUGCAGCCAAUUAAGCCAACUGUACUCCUUUCCCCUGGGGUUCCAUGUGUAAUGCCUGCCAACAGCACCCUUUCUGGGAGUCUGGGAGUGCGGGCAGCUUGUAUGUGGCUUGGAUGGGCAGCACUAACGGGUCUUGGAGACAGCC